GGGUAAGUCCUAUACGACCAGCUCCCCAUGAAUUCCGCCAGGUCUUGACCGAAGCAACGGUAGUGGGUUGUAGCAGGUGCGAUGUAGGUAGCUUACCCUUU
RNAcentral lists this signal recognition particle RNA (101 nucleotides) under Muribaculaceae bacterium. RNAcentral's name for it is "signal recognition particle sRNA small type". It matches the Rfam family "Bacteroidales small SRP". From Rfam's summary of the family: The non-coding component of the signal recognition particle in Bacteroides Lineage: Bacteria; Pseudomonadati; Bacteroidota; Bacteroidia; Bacteroidales; Muribaculaceae. The record is from RNAcentral.